UCCUUCUGUGAACACUCAGGCUCUGGCACAUAAAAUGCCCCACUCGCAAUUCCAACCUUUUCCUGAAUACUCCUGAUCCACUUGUGUUUCUGCACCAAGAAGUUCCCAUCUCUGAAGCACAUCAGACUUCCUAAGAGUGAUGGCCCUCGGCUGAUUCAUUUGUUGGGAGGCACGCCACAGGGAACCAGUCUUUCUCUUGGGAUCGGUGAGUGA
Molecule: long non-coding RNA, 213 nt
Filed under: Mus spicilegus (steppe mouse)
Lineage: Eukaryota; Metazoa; Chordata; Mammalia; Rodentia; Muridae
Description: lncRNA (ENSMSIG00000030800.1)
Source: RNAcentral